CCUACGGGAGGCUGCAGUAGGGAAUAUUGCUCAAUGGCGGAAACCCUGAAGCAGCCACGCCGCGUGGAGGAUGAAGGUUUUCGGAUUGUCAACUCCUUUUGUUAGAGACGAUAAUGACGGUAUCUAACGAAUAAGCACCGGCUCACUCCGUUCCAGCAGCCGCGGUAAUACGGCGGGUGCAAGCGUUACUCGGACUCACUGGGCGUAAAGCGCGCGUAGGCGGGAUAGCAAGUCAGAUGUGAAAUCCUAUGGCUUAACCAUAGAACUGCAUUUGAAACUGGUAUUCUAGAGUAUGGGAGAGGUAGGUGGAAUUCUUGGUGUAGGGGUAAAAUCCGUAGAGAUCAAGAGGAAUACGCAUUGCGAAGGCGACCUGCUAGAACAUAACUGACGCUGAUGCGCGAAAGCGUGGGGAGCAAACAGGAUUAGAUACCCCUGUAGUC
This 440-nucleotide ribosomal RNA is filed under the name uncultured bacterium. RNAcentral describes it as "partial 16S ribosomal RNA". It matches the Rfam family "Bacterial small subunit ribosomal RNA", at positions 338 to 795 of the family's 1533-position model. The record is from RNAcentral.